Molecule: long non-coding RNA, 653 nt
Organism: Siniperca chuatsi (mandarin fish)
Lineage: Eukaryota; Metazoa; Chordata; Actinopteri; Centrarchiformes; Sinipercidae
Exons: 3
Source: RefSeq, a predicted model, not a curated record
UCAAAGCAUCCUUUGAUUAAUAAGCACUUGGUUAAGUAUCAAAACAGUUUCGAAACUGUGAAUGGACUCUGUAAAUAAAUAUUUUUAAAAAUUUAUUUUGAAGCCAGUUAUACUCUGGUUUUACAACAGACAAGAGAAAGUUAACAUUUUAACGAAACAACCGAGAGUUAACGUUAACUUGUUUGUGUUUUGUAAGAUAAGCUAGUUAGCAGCAGAGACGAAAUGAUGACUUUUGUCAGCAGCCAUGCUAAAUGACCAUCAUCAAAACAAGUGCAAUGGGACAUUUUGGAUUUGGAGAACUUCAUUUUCAAACUGACCACUUCAUCUCCAUGAAGUUAAAAGGAGAAUGUACUUCGACGUCAAAUAACAUACUUUGCCCUCUGUCUCAUCACACCUGGUUUUUUUUUCUCUCCAGUCUGAAUAGUUUUUUUCAUUUUUCAUCUUCUGGCCUGGGUUUCUGGUGACAGAUGGAGCCGUGGUGGCAUCAUUCAGUACUGAGGAUGGCAGCUCUCACCCCCCACUGCUGCCCCAUCUGGCCCCUCAGUGUAACUCUUGACCACAAUCGCUACGGAUACUGCGACCCAUCACCUCUGCCCAGGGUUCUCAUAACAGUCAUGGCAACCAAUUUGUCAGCUGGCUAACCAGCCGGCCGU